This 3394-nucleotide long non-coding RNA is filed under the name Gallus gallus (chicken). Lineage: Eukaryota; Metazoa; Chordata; Aves; Galliformes; Phasianidae. The record is from RNAcentral.
CUCAAAGUCUGCCAUGCGGUCACUUGUCUCACUGAUAUGUGACUCACUGUCCAUUUCAUGGCUUGAAAAUUCAGCUGCUGGAGAGUUUUGGUAGCUUUGGCAGUUCUUACUGAAGUCUUUUUCUGGACAUGCAUAUUUUGCAGAAGGCUCUCCAUCAGCUGUGUUUUCAUCAGCUUCUACAUCUUCUUCCACCAGUGCUGCUGCUUUUAGUUCAUCUGAAACAUAGGCUGCUGCGCGCCGGGGCGCCUGCUGCUUCCUCCUCGGCAUGCUGCGGGCGGCGGGGGGGGCUGCCUCGGCGCGGGGGUGGGAAGAGUUGCUUUAGCCCCAGAGAUCCGCUGCGCUGCUCCAGUCUCGGCUCGAGGGCUGGGUCGGGGAUAUAUUUUUUGUUGCUGUGCAUGCACGAUGCCGAGGAGGAGGAGGAGGAGGCGGCGGCGGAGGAGGAGGAGGCGGCACAGAGGAGAGGACAGCCCUGCUGCUGCUGCUGCUGCUGCUGCUGCUGGCAGAAGAGGGGGGAAGUUUGACAAAUCGCCCCGGAGGAAGGAGGAGGGGAAGCCCCCCGAAGAGGUGCGCGGGCGGGAGGGCCGGGGAGAGCCCGCGGCGCCGCACUCCGCCCCGCGCCCUCCGCCUGCCCCGGCGCGGGGCUGCUCACGGCAUGGGGCCGGCAGCGCCGGGCGGCACUCGGAGAGCCGCAGCCGGCGCUCGGCGCUCCGCGGCUCCGGGCUCGGCGCUGGAAGAGCGGCGGCGGCAACAGGCGAAGCUUGAAGGGAAACGAGACGAUCGCAGCGUCACUCAAACAUCCCGCCCGAGGGACGCGGCGCCGCGCUCCCGCAACUCCCGGCGCGGCGCGGACCCCCCCUCCGCCGCCCAACUUCGCCGCCGCUCCGCUCGGCGCCGCCCCCCCGCCCCGCACACGCCCGCCGCGUUCCCCUCGGCCCGGCCCCCCCGCCCCGACCCCGCCAGGUGACGGAGGCGGCCCCGCACCUCGGCCCGGCCCCGCUCCGGGGCCGCGGCUCCCACCUGGCUGGCGCCUGCGGGCGGGCGGGGCGGGGGGGGGCGCGGGGCGCUGCGGCCGUCAACGGCAGCGCCUUCAGCCGCGGGGCGGCGGCGGGCAGCGCCCUCACACCGCUCCGCGGGGCGCCCGCGCGCAGGCCGCCUUCUUUUCUCUCUCUUUUCGGAGCAUUUUGUUUUUUUCUUUUUUUUUUUUCCUUUUCUUUUUUUCCUUUUUUUUUUUUUUUUUUUUGGUCCAAGUUCACUGGCAAGCCGCCACCGCGCUCCGUUCGGCGAGCGGCGGCGGAUCGAUGCGCUGCGGGCUCGAUUGGGCGCCGCCUCUCGCAGCCCCCGUGUAUUGGCAGCAGGAGGGGGAGAAAAAACAGUAGCAAAUAUUUUUUUUUUCCUAAAGUUCACGGGGAGGAAUUAAAAAAAAAAAAAAAAAAAAAAAGAUGAUGAUGAUCUCAGUGUUACGGAAGAAAAAUGUAUUGAACUUCCGAUCGGACGGAUUUCAGCUGGAAACGCGGAGUCCUUCACGUGCAUUAGCUUCUCCGGGGGUCACGGUCCAUUUCAGAGAGCCGGAGCCCGUAAUUGUAUUAAGUGUCACAUUUACAAACAUAACGCUUACAAAACAAACGCACAAAAUCGAUGACUGCACGGGCUCUAUCUGCAAAGACUCCGCACACGAGGCUCGGCGCUGAGCUCGCCCUUCCCGGCAGUUCCAAAGCCAGGUACCGAUUAUUUCCCAGUCCCACCGUCAGACGACCACCCCUGCUCAGCGUCCCGCCCGCUCGGCACCGCGCCCGCCCCGAGCUCCGUCGCUGCCCCUUCCACCGCCCGUCCGCUCCGCAGCUCCCCGAGCGCGGCGGCGGCGGCUGAGCUGCGGGGGGCCCCGCGCGCGGACAGCGCGGCAGCGGCCAGCGGGGAUCCCCGGCUAAGUUCGCCAACUUGGCUCAGCCCCGAGCAGGGCGGGGGUUCGCCGGGAACCGCGGGGCGCACCGAGCGCCGGGCCCGGGCCCUCAGCCCCCCGCUGCAGGCGCGGAACAGAGCGGGGCGGCUGCUGGCACCGCCGGCUGUAGGGAGCGCACGGUGUCCCCCGGGUGCGCGGGGGCCGCUGCGGCUUCGCCCGGUGCGGAACAAAAGAGGAGCGGCGCGCAUCGGCGCUGCCGGGACGGACGCGCCUCUGCCAAGUUUGUUUAAGAACACGGCUGCCCGCGCCCGACAACGAUCUUCGGCUUUUGUGCAAUACAAAGCGUUGUCAAUAACCAUUACGGCGGCGGCAAUUAUCUGAGGAGAGAACAAAGGCAUUUUGUAAUAUCUACAUAACUUUAUUAGAGCAAAAUUAUUUUUAAAUGCCUACGAAUUCCCAAACCUCCUGAGUACAAAUGAAUAAAAGUUUUUUCUUCGGGCUAAGAUCUUUGCUUGAAUGUAAAUUGUUUGGGUAAGUAAAUUUACACAGCAGCAAAGUUUGUUUGGCUCAGUCCGGUAGCUGCGCUGUAACGAACCAGAUGUUUUGGCUGCAAAUUAUCCGGAGGACUUUGCCAGUUCUGCCACGCAUCGCGCCCCGGAACGCCAGAACCGGGGCAGCGAGGGCCGGGCAGCUCCCCCAGGCCCGGGAGCGAACCCCCAGCCCCAGCCCACCCCUCCCGGAGCCCCGCGGGCCGCGCACCGGCAAAGCGAGAACGGCGCGGCGGAGCAGAGCAGCGCGGCCCGGCCCUCCCCGCGGCCUUUCCCCGGGCACCGGCGGGGCCGGAGCGCGACCCGCAGCCGCUGCGGCCGGAGCUGAAGUCGGGCGGCUCGUGGAGAGCCGCGGUCGGCCCCGCCCGGCCCGGGCCGCCCCGCCCGCCGCCUCCGCGCCCACAGCGGCACUUUUGGGGGACGGUGCGCGGUGCCCUGAGAUCCGUCGCCGCGGUGCCGUCCCGCUGAAUUAUCGCUUCUUUUUUUGUCCCCCUUGAAAGGACUUGGGGGUCUCUGAAGAAACAAUCGGCCGCUGCUCUGAAGGAAAGGAGCGAUACCAUUCAGAGCUACUGUAGCGUAAUGUGUUCACUUGGGCAGUAGGAAAACCCUUUAUGAAAAUUAGUUACAGAGCCCGAAACUCCCCCCCGUGUGCCAACCGCAGCCAUUGUGCGCACAGGGCUCAGCGCAGCCCGCCCGCACGAAGUUGGCCCCGCUCCGGCUCGGGGAGCUCCACCGUGCAGCCCCCGGCGCUGGGGAGAGGCGGGAGGCGGCGGCGGGGCCGAGGCGGGGGGGAAAGGGAUCCCCGCCCGCUCCCUGCAUCACCCGGGGGUCGGCGCUGCCCGGCGAACGCGGCCGUGCCCUUGAGAGCGCCUGUGACCUCACGGCGGGGAGAUUUGGUUGUGCCCAGAUCCAUCCUGCAGCGGGAAAAAGCGCGGAGCGGAGCUUCUCC